Molecule: ribosomal RNA, 253 nt
Filed under: uncultured bacterium
Lineage: Bacteria
Description: partial 16S ribosomal RNA
Rfam family: Bacterial small subunit ribosomal RNA
Source: RNAcentral
UACGUAGGUGGCAAGCGUUGUCCGGAUUUACUGGGCGUAAAGAGCGCGCAGGCGGUCGUUCAAGUCGCGUGUGAAAGCCCCCGGCUCAACUGGGGAGGGUCACGCGAUACUGAUCGACUCGAAGGCAGGAGAGGGUAGUGGAAUUCCCGGUGUAGUGGUGAAAUGCGUAGAUAUCCAGCGGAACACCAGUGGCGAAGGCGGCCUACUGGGCUCCACCUGACACUGAGGCGCGAAAGCGUGGGGAGCGAACCGG